Maniola jurtina (meadow brown) is the source of this 72-nucleotide long non-coding RNA. RefSeq lists it as uncharacterized. NCBI's taxonomy places the organism in Eukaryota, Metazoa, Arthropoda, Insecta, Lepidoptera, Nymphalidae. The record is from RefSeq and is a predicted model, not a curated record. The transcript has 3 exons.
CUUUCUUCUUUCUGGGCUGGUUUCCGCACUUAAGCGUUUCCGUCUGUUAUGCGUGCCGUAGACAGCUAUCUU